AACGAACGCUGGCGGCAUGCCUAACACAUGCAAGUCGAACGAGACCUUCGGGUCUAGUGGCGCACGGGUGCGUAACGCGUGGGAACCUGCCCUUAGGUUCGGAAUAACUCCCCGAAAGGGGUGCUAAUACCGGAUAAUGUCUUCGGACCAAAGAUUUAUCGCCUUUGGAUGGGCCCGCGUUGGAUUAGCUAGUUGGUAGGGUAAAAGCCUACCAAGGCGACGAUCCAUAGCUGGUCUGAGAGGAUGAUCAGCCACACUGGGACUAGGACACGGCCCGGACUCCUACGGGAGGCGGCAGUGGGGAAUAUUGGACAAUGGGCGAAAGCCUGAUCCAGCAAUGCCGCGUGAGUGAUGAAGGCCUUAGGGUUGUAAAGCUUUUUUACCCGGGAUGAUAAUGACAGUACCGGGAGAAUAAGCUCCGGCUAACUCCGUG
Molecule: ribosomal RNA, 433 nt
Filed under: uncultured bacterium
Lineage: Bacteria
Description: partial 16S ribosomal RNA
Rfam family: Bacterial small subunit ribosomal RNA
Source: RNAcentral